AGCCUAGCUUGCUGGGUGGAUUAGUGGCGAACGGGUGAGUAACACGUGAGUAACCUGCCCUUGACUCUGGGAUAAGCCUGGGAAACUGGGUCUAAUACCGGAUACGACCAUUGCCCGCAUGGGUUGGUGGUGGAAAGCUUUUGUGGUUUUGGAUGGACUCGCGGCCUAUCAGCUUGUUGGUGAGGUAAUGGCUCACCAAGGCGACGACGGGUAGCCGGCCUGAGAGGGUGACCGGCCACACUGGGACUGAGACACGGCCCAGACUCCUACGGGAGGCAGCAGUGGGGAAUAUUGCACAAUGGGCGAAAGCCUGAUGCAGCGACGCCGCGUGAGGGAUGACGGCCUUCGGGUUGUAAACCUCUUUCAGUAGGGAAGAAGCGAAAGUGACGGUACCUGCAGAAGAAGCGCCGGCUAACUACGUGCCAGCAGCCGCGGUAAUACGUAGGGCGCAAGCGUUAUCCGGAAUUAUUGGGCGUAAAGAGCUCGUAGGCGGUUUGUCGCGUCUGCUGUGAAAGGCCAGGGCUCAACCCUGGUUCUGCAGUGGGUACGGGCAGACUUGAGUGAUGUAGGGGAGACUGGAAUUCCUGGUGUAGCGGUGAAAUGCGCAGAUAUCAGGAGGAACACCGAUGGCGAAGGCAGGUCUCUGGGCAUUAACUGACGCUGAGGAGCGAAAGCAUGGGGAGCGAACAGGAUUAGAUACCCUGGUAGUCCAUGCCGUAAACGUUGGGCACUAGGUGUGGGGGACAUUCCACGUUUUCCGCGCCGUAGCUAACGCAUUAAGUGCCCCGCCUGGGGAGUACGGCCGC
RNAcentral lists this ribosomal RNA (806 nucleotides) under Arthrobacter sp. Its description in RNAcentral is "bacterial SSU rRNA". It matches the Rfam family "Bacterial small subunit ribosomal RNA", at positions 72 to 889 of the family's 1533-position model. Lineage: Bacteria; Bacillati; Actinomycetota; Actinomycetes; Micrococcales; Micrococcaceae. The record is from RNAcentral.